CGUGCAAGUCGGUCUGCCGCCGUUUCGUUCCGAUUUCGAUCGGAACUGGAAAGGAGGAAAGUCCGGGCAACAUAGAGCACCAUACUUCCUAACGGGAAGGAGUUUGGCUGGCGACGGUCAAACUACAGAAAGUGCCACAGAAAAUAUACCGUCCUGAUCCCGAUUGCUAUCGGGAUGGGAUAAGGGUGAAAAGGUGGGGUAAGAGCCCACCGCUCCAGUGGUGACAUUGGAGGCAGGGUAAACCUUAUGGGUUGAAAGAUCAAAUAGGCCCCGGGCAAAGAGCUGCUCGUUCGAUUUCUGCUUUGCAGAAUUCCGGGGUGGGUAGAUCGAUGGAUCCUGACUGUGAAGUCAGGGCUAGAUAAAUGGUAGACCAUCUCUCCUUAUUGGGAGCAGAUGACAGAACCCGGCUUACAGACUUGCACAUUUC
RNAcentral lists this RNase P RNA (427 nucleotides) under Algoriphagus sp. RNAcentral describes it as "RNase P RNA component class A". It matches the Rfam family "Bacterial RNase P class A". From Rfam's summary of the family: Ribonuclease P (RNase P) is a ubiquitous endoribonuclease, found in archaea, bacteria and eukarya as well as chloroplasts and mitochondria. Its best characterised activity is the generation of mature 5'-ends of tRNAs by cleaving the 5'-leader elements of precursor-tRNAs. Cellular RNase Ps are ribonucleoproteins. The record is from RNAcentral. Lineage: Bacteria; Pseudomonadati; Bacteroidota; Cytophagia; Cytophagales; Cyclobacteriaceae.